AGAGUUUGAUCCUGGCUCAGGAUGAACGCUGGCGGCGCGCCUAACACAUGCAAGUCGAACGGCACCCACCCUCGGGUGGAAGCGAGUGGCGAACGGCUGAGUAACACGUGGAGAACCUGCCCCCUCCCCGGGAUAGCCGCCCGAAAGGACGGGUAAUACCGGAUACCCCGGGGUGCCGCAUGGCACCCCGGCUAAAGCCCCGACGGGAGGGGAUGGCUCCGCGGCCCAUCAGGUAGACGGCGGGGUGACGGCCCACCGUGCCGACAACGGGUAGCCGGGUUGAG
Molecule: ribosomal RNA, 284 nt
Filed under: uncultured bacterium
Lineage: Bacteria
Description: partial 16S ribosomal RNA
Rfam family: Bacterial small subunit ribosomal RNA
Source: RNAcentral